This is a long non-coding RNA of Oxyura jamaicensis (ruddy duck), 409 nucleotides long. RefSeq lists it as uncharacterized. The record is from RefSeq and is a predicted model, not a curated record. NCBI's taxonomy places the organism in Eukaryota, Metazoa, Chordata, Aves, Anseriformes, Anatidae. The transcript is spliced from 3 exons.
GGGCACAAACAAGUCAAGUUAUGGGCAGAAAUAAGUCAUGUGUUUCCAAUUUGCAGGACAUUCCAGAAGGCUGUGUAUCGAGGGUCCUGUAACAGAACCGUAAUGAGUUUCCUAAACAGAUUCACACACUUUAAACUGAGGAGCCCCAGGACUAGGUUAAACGUGAAGCCCAGGAGCAGCUACAAUUCCCACCCUGCUGAACACGAGACCGUCAGGCAGCAGCGCCAGGCAGCAGCGCGCAGUGCUCAAGCCAUGAAGAAAACACCCGGGGACUUGAGUUAGAGCCUAAACAGAACAAAGACCUGCAAACAACGAAUACGCAUGUGGGAGUACCCAAAACACAUACCUUAAAGAUGGGAGAAAAGUCUAAAAGGCGCCAGACCCUGCCUUUUAAAGCAAAACAAGUAGA